GUGCUUCCUUCAGCAGCACAUAUACUAAAAUUGGAACAAUACAGAAAUUAGCAUGGCCCCUGUGCAAGGAUGACAUGCAAAUUUGUGAAGCAUUCCAUAUAUAA
Gorilla gorilla gorilla (western lowland gorilla) is the source of this 104-nucleotide small nuclear RNA. NCBI's taxonomy places the organism in Eukaryota, Metazoa, Chordata, Mammalia, Primates, Hominidae. The record is from Ensembl.